RNAcentral lists this ribosomal RNA (292 nucleotides) under uncultured bacterium. Its description in RNAcentral is "partial 16S ribosomal RNA". It matches the Rfam family "Bacterial small subunit ribosomal RNA", at positions 505 to 796 of the family's 1533-position model. The record is from RNAcentral.
GUGCCAGCAGCCGCGGUAAUACGAAGGGGGCUAGCGUUGCUCGGAUUUACUGGGCGUAAAGGGCGCGUAGGCGGACAGUUAAGUUGGGGGUGAAAGCCCGGGGCUCAACCUCGGAAUUGCCUUCAAUACUGGCUGUCUUGAGUGUGAGAGAGGUGUGUGGAACUCCGAGUGUAGAGGUGAAAUUCGUAGAUAUUCGGAAGAACACCAGUGGCGAAGGCGACACACUGGCUCACUACUGACGCUGAGGCGCGAAAGCGUGGGGAGCAAACAGGAUUAGAUACCCUUGUAGUCC